UGGGGUAUAUUGCACAAUGGGCGCAAGCCUGAUGCAGCCAUGCCGCGUGUAUGAAGAAGGCCUUCGGGUUGUAAAGUACUUUCAGUCGGGAGGAAGGUGGUAAGGUUAAUAACCUUAUCAAUUGACGUUACCGACAGAAGAAGCACCGGCUAACUCCGUGCCAGCAGCCGCGGUAAUACGGAGGGUGCAAGCGUUAAUCGGAAUUACUGGGCGUAAAGCGCACGCAGGCGGUUGAUUGAGUCAGAUGUGAAAUCCCCGGGCUUAACCCGGGAAUUGCAUCUGAUACUGGUCAGCUAGAGUCUUGUAGAGGGGGGGAGAAUUCCAUGUGUAGCGGUGAAAUGCGUAGAGAUGUGGAGGAAUACCGGUGGCGAAGGCGGCCGCCUGGACAAAGACUGACGCUCAGGUGCGAAAGCGUGGGGAGCAAACAGG
This 429-nucleotide ribosomal RNA is filed under the name Chloroflexota bacterium. RNAcentral's name for it is "Chloroflexi bacterium partial 16S ribosomal RNA". It matches the Rfam family "Bacterial small subunit ribosomal RNA", at positions 355 to 776 of the family's 1533-position model. Lineage: Bacteria; Bacillati; Chloroflexota. The record is from RNAcentral.